RNAcentral lists this small nuclear RNA (107 nucleotides) under Dasypus novemcinctus (nine-banded armadillo). The record is from RNAcentral. Lineage: Eukaryota; Metazoa; Chordata; Mammalia; Cingulata; Dasypodidae.
GUGCUCACUUUGGCAGCACAUAUACUAAAAUUGGAACCAUAUAGAGAAGAUUAGCAUGGCCCAUGAGCAAGAAUGACAUGCAAAUUUGUGAAGCAUUCCGUAUUUUU